RNAcentral lists this ribosomal RNA (430 nucleotides) under Pediococcus acidilactici. RNAcentral describes it as "bacterial SSU rRNA". It matches the Rfam family "Bacterial small subunit ribosomal RNA", at positions 359 to 787 of the family's 1533-position model. The record is from RNAcentral. Lineage: Bacteria; Bacillati; Bacillota; Bacilli; Lactobacillales; Lactobacillaceae.
UGACACGUCUUGACGCAGUCUGAUGGAGCACGCCGCGUGAGUGAAGAAGGGUUUCGGCUCGUAAAGCUCUGUUGUUAAAGAAGAACGUGGGUGAGAGUAACUGUUCACCCAGUGACGGUAUUUAACCAGAAAGCCACGGCUAACUACGUGCCAGCAGCCGCGGUAAUACGUAGGUGGCAAGCGUUAUCCGGAUUUAUUGGGCGUAAAGCGAGCGCAGGCGGUCUUUUAAGUCUAAUGUGAAAGCCUUCGGCUCAACCGAAGAAGUGCAUUGGAAACUGGGAGACUUGAGUGCAGAAGAGGACAGUGGAACUCCAUGUGUAGCGGUGAAAUGCGUAGAUAUAUGGAAGAACACCAGUGGCGAAGGCGGCUGUCUGGUCUGUAACUGACGCUGAGGCUCGAAAGCAUGGGUAGCGAACAGGAUUAGAUACCC